Heterocephalus glaber (naked mole-rat) is the source of this 1604-nucleotide non-coding RNA. Lineage: Eukaryota; Metazoa; Chordata; Mammalia; Rodentia; Bathyergidae. The record is from RefSeq and is a predicted model, not a curated record.
AAUGAAGAAUACUAUGCCUUCUUCAAAUUGUCAUGAAAUUCGUAUAAAAAAGUCUGAAUUAAUGAGCUUUUGCUACAUUUGAACACAAGCUGAGGACUGAUAUCAGAUAAUCUUAAGAUUCUGAACCCAUAGCAAUUAUGCUUGUAUCUUCAGUGGUGUCAUCCUGAAUUAAACAUUGGCAAGCUUUAUUGAGGAUACCUCAGCAGAAUUCUUAAUUUGGAGAGACUAUCAAAUAAGGUUCUUGAAGAUAAAGAAGUCACUUUGGGCUGAGGGAGAAAUACAGCAUUUCCCUGAGAAACAGAAGUGUUUGAGAUUCUCUUGGAGGGCCUGGAAAGCACGUCAGACACAUGCCCGCCUGUAGAGCAUUUCCUGCCUAAUUUUAUGGUGCCAAGGGACCACGGUAGAGUCCAAAACAUCCUUAAGAUAUUGUUGAAAUUUGAAAAGAAAAUGUUUUGUUGUUAAAUCCGUUACCACCUCUGGAGAGUUCAACAUAUUAAUCAUGAUACAGAAGAAAACUCUUCACGCAGGUUCCUGAAGAUCUCGAUUACCUGACCAUGUCUUGACUUGUUUUUUGGGUCUCAUGGAGGACAUCACCUUAUAUUUAGUCAUCGUAUCUCCAUAAAGUUUCCUUAGGAACAGAGUUUUCUCAGCCUUUCCUUGUUGCUGAUGACAGUGAUAAUCUGAGGAGCGCUGGUCAGGGUGCUUUUAUGAGGUGGACCUUAGAUGAAAAAAGAAAAAGUGCUUUGCAACUCAUAAGCAGAGGAAGCAGAGGCAAAGGCUCCAGACCACAGUGUUCCUGUCUCCAACAGAGCCAGUGUAACUGCAGACUGCGGUGUGCUCCAGGAUUUCAUGCACAAAAGGGAUAUGGCAAGGACAGAAGGCAGAAUCUCGGAGAAUGGGAGCUAGCUCUAAACCAUGCAAAUACAACACAUUUUGUGAUCCCGUGUGUGAGCCCUUUAUAGAGACAAAAGGAAGCAAAGUCCUGAGGCUGAUGUCUACAUUGUUAGAAUGAAUAGAUUAUUCAUUCCAAAUACCUAGAGGGUUGACACAACACCAAGGAAAUUUGCUUUUUCUGGUAAAAUCAGAAAUCACUGAUUUUCUUCAAUUCUCAUCUCAUUUUUCAUGGAGGCCAAGCGCUAUGGAUGGGGCCCAGGGCUUCAUUGUGAUGGACAGAGUCUCUAUGAAGUCAUUCUCAACAUUGCUACUAUCUGUGUGAUCAGACUGGUUCCUUCACUUUUAGAGACCACCUUGCCUUCGGAAAAUGAGGGUUUACCCCAGGGAGUCUCUGGCAUCCUUUCGAGCCUUUAGAAUCUGUCACACCAGGACUGGAUGUGUAGCUCGGCACCUACGAAGGAUGCACCAGGUCCGGGGUUAUAUCUCUAGCACAGAGAAAAAAAGCCAUCACGUUUAGGACCAUUUUGAUUACUAUCUUUCUUUGUAAUAUAUUAGGAAUUUUUGCUAAAUGAGAAUUGAACAGAACUAUGACAUGCCCCUUUUGAAUCUUGCAAGAUAUGUCAAAUGGGAUACAGAGUUUAUAGCGGCUGGUGCUGUGUUUGACAUUAACAAUCAGAGUAACAAUAAACCCUACCACAGAGGCUGUAAAA